This 490-nucleotide ribosomal RNA is filed under the name uncultured bacterium. RNAcentral's name for it is "bacterial SSU rRNA". It matches the Rfam family "Bacterial small subunit ribosomal RNA", at positions 29 to 507 of the family's 1533-position model. The record is from RNAcentral.
AUUGAACGCUGGCGGCAUGCCUAACACAUGCAAGUCGAACGGCAGCACAGCAGUAGCAAUACUGUGGGUGGCGAGUGGCGGACGGGUGAGGAAUACGUCGGAAUCUGCCCAGGUCGUGGGGGAUAACUAGCCGAAAGGUUAGCUAAUACCGCAUACGACCGAGAGGUGAAAGCGGGGGACCGCAAGGCCUCGCGCGAUUGGAUGAGCCGACGUCGGAUUAGCUAGUUGGCGGGUAAAGGCCCACCAAGGCGACGAUCCGUAGCUGGUCUGAGAGGAUGAUCAGCCACACUGGAACUGAGACACGGUCCAGACUCCUACGGGAGGCAGCAGUGGGGAAUAUUGGACAAUGGGCGCAAGCCUGAUCCAGCAAUGCCGCGUGUGUGAAGAAGGCCUUCGGGUUGUAAAGCACUUUUAUCAGGAACGAAAAGCGUUGGAUUAAUACUCUGACGUGCUGACGGUACCUGAGGAAUAAGCACCGGCUAACUUCGUG